GAGCUGCCUCAGGUGAAGGUGUCAGUUUGGCGCCUUCGCCGGGAUUAGAAGCCAGUAAAUCGCAGGCUCGGUUCGAGCUCCAGAAAGGAGGACCAGAACCCGACAUCCUUGAGAUCCCAGUGGUUUGCCCUCCUGUCGGAGGAGGAGGUGGAGCUGGACAGCGACUUGGAUGAUGAUCCCUAAUUUUGAUGUAUCCAGUCAGUGUGGCUCUCAGAGACCAGAGUAUCCCAACUUCAACAGCUGCCAAUGUGACCCGCCAUGAGCGAUGGUACUGCAGGGGCCCCAUUUCAGUAAGCGCUGUGACCUCUACUAAUACUCACACUGGCUAUUUCAAUCCAUCCUCUCUAAAUACAUAAAUAAAUAGAUAAAAGAACAAACCUCUAACAAGCUGUUAGAAAUAAUCUGCGCUCUGUAUUCUAAUAAUACUAACGAUCAGUCGUGGAAGAGCGCUUUCCUCUAAGGCUGAGUGAUUCACUGGCCCCUCAUUCAACUUUUAUUCCACUUAGAGCUGGGUUAUAAAUACACACACUGCACAAACAUGCUCCCCUGGGUUUAUCUCUUGCUUGCUUGCUUGCUUUUAAACAGGCAGCUGCAUCCCUGUCCUUGGCUCUUGGUUUAUUUUGUAUAAUAGCCUGGCACUGCCUCAGGCUCCCCUGACUGUCCUGUGUUUGCUUUUGUUUUUCGUUGUUUACCCCUCUAGUUUGUCACAUUUAUACAUGGUGUCUUUACACCAGGGGUGGCCAAAGUUGGCCUUUCCACUCCUGGUCUUUGUUCCAACCCUGGUUUCAAUUGUUUAACUGACCCAAUUAAACCUCCUAAACACUCCAUUUUCAGAUCUGCUGUGCUGUCAUUACCAGCACCUUAGUAAUAAUGAGCACUAGUGUAAACACUGCAUUCUCAG
This is a long non-coding RNA of Polyodon spathula (Mississippi paddlefish), 901 nucleotides long. RefSeq lists it as uncharacterized. The record is from RefSeq and is a predicted model, not a curated record. The transcript is spliced from 3 exons. NCBI's taxonomy places the organism in Eukaryota, Metazoa, Chordata, Actinopteri, Acipenseriformes, Polyodontidae.